AGUAGAGCGGCGCACGGGUGAGUAACGCGUGGGUAACCUACCCCUGGGCGGGGGAUAACCACUCGAAAGGGUGGCUAAUACCGCAUGAGACCACGGGGCCUUCGGGUCCUGAGGCCAAAGGUGGCACCGGCUUGCCGGUGCUGUCACCUGGGGAUGGGCCCGCGUACGAUUAGCUGGUUGGUAGGGUAACGGCCUACCAAGGCUACGAUCGUUAGCUGGUCUGAGAGGAUGGCCAGCCACACUGGAACUGGAACACGGUCCAGACUCCUACGGGAGGCAGCAGUGAGGAAUAUUGCGCAAUGGGGGAAACCCUGACGCAGCAACGCCGCGUGGGUGAAGAAGGCCUUCGGGUCGUAAAGCCCUUUCGGACGGGACGAACGCUUCGCGGUGACAACCCGCGAAGUCUGACGGUACCGUAAGAAGAAGCACCGGCUAACUCCGUGCCAGCAGCCGCGGUAAUACGGAGGGUUGCAAGCGUUGUUCCGGAAUUACUGGGCGUUA
RNAcentral lists this ribosomal RNA (501 nucleotides) under uncultured delta proteobacterium. Its description in RNAcentral is "bacterial SSU rRNA". It matches the Rfam family "Bacterial small subunit ribosomal RNA", at positions 89 to 563 of the family's 1533-position model. The record is from RNAcentral. Lineage: Bacteria; Deltaproteobacteria.